GGAUGAGAUCGUAUCAGCCGCAUGGUUACCCGAGCCACGAAGCCUCCUCCGGUGACUCAGCAAUCGCGGCGACCUGGCGGAGCUGAGGAAAACACCGUUGGAACCAUCCAUAUUCCCCACACGGUUAACUUGGCGCAAAACAACCUGCAACAAAGCACAACGUCUCUCGGGCCUCGGAGAGCUUUGCCGCAGUCACGCGAAAAUCAAACCGAGAUCCGAGCUGAGCUCGUUGAUCCGCGGCGUUCCCGCGCGGCGAUAGCAGCCCGGAGCGCUUCGUUGAAGGACGCUGCUGCCGCCAC
Long non-coding RNA from Gasterosteus aculeatus aculeatus (three-spined stickleback), 299 nucleotides. The record is from Ensembl. NCBI's taxonomy places the organism in Eukaryota, Metazoa, Chordata, Actinopteri, Perciformes, Gasterosteidae.